Molecule: ribosomal RNA, 253 nt
Filed under: uncultured bacterium
Lineage: Bacteria
Description: partial 16S ribosomal RNA
Rfam family: Bacterial small subunit ribosomal RNA
Source: RNAcentral
UACGGGGGGAGCAAGCGUUGUUCGGAAUUACUGGGCGUAAAGGGUCCGUAGGUGGCCAACUAAGUCAGACGUGAAAUCCCUCAGCUUAACUGGGGAACUGCGUCUGAUACUGGAUGGCUUGGAUUUGGGAGAGGGAUGCGGAAUUCCAGGUGUAGCGGUGAAAUGCGUAGAUAUCUGGAGGAACACCGGUGGCGAAGGCGGCAUCCUGGACCAAUAUUGACGCUGAGGAGCGAAAGCCAGGGGAGCAAACGGG